This 20-nucleotide ribosomal RNA is filed under the name Pseudozyma sp. SS1. Its description in RNAcentral is "partial 5.8S rRNA". Lineage: Eukaryota; Fungi; Basidiomycota; Ustilaginomycetes; Ustilaginales; Ustilaginaceae. The record is from RNAcentral.
CAACUUUGCAACGUUUCCAG